GGAUAUGAGGGCAAUCUGGCCGCGACAUCUGUCACCCCAUUGGUUGCCAGGGUUGAUUCGGCUGACCUGUCUGGCUAGGCGGGUGUCUCCUUUCUCCCUUACCGCUCCAUGUGCAUCCCUCCCGAAGCUGCACACUCAGUCCAAGAGGACGACCAUCCCUAGUAGAGGACCUUUCUUCUUGGUCAAGGGAUUAUGAGUAGCUAAGCUCCCCUGCUAGAACCUCCAAACAAGCUCUCUCUCUCUUACUAGUUUUAUGUUAUGGACUCCCCACAAAAUGAUUGUGUUCUCUCAGCUUUAUAUGAUUCACGGGAACAAAGCCAUUAUUACAACUUUGUCCAUCUCUCCACACAGCACACUACCUGCUAAUGUU
RNAcentral lists this small nuclear RNA (370 nucleotides) under Camelus bactrianus (Bactrian camel). RNAcentral describes it as "7SK RNA". It matches the Rfam family "7SK RNA". Rfam says of the family: 7SK was discovered as an abundant small nuclear RNA in the mid-70s but a possible function has only recently been suggested. Two independent studies have found that 7SK RNA binds the CDK9/cyclin T complex (known as elongation factor P-TEFb). RNAcentral also lists the same sequence under 1 other name. The record is from Rfam by way of RNAcentral. Lineage: Eukaryota; Metazoa; Chordata; Mammalia; Artiodactyla; Camelidae.